UGGGGAAUAUUGCACAAUGGGCGAAAGCCUGAUGCAGCGACGCCGCGUGAGGGAUGAAGGCCUUCGGGUUGUAAACCUCUUUCAGCAGGGAAGAAGCGCAAGUGACGGUACCUGCAGAAGAAGCGCCGGCUAACUACGUGCCAGCAGCCGCGGUAAUACGUCGGGCGCAAGCGUUGUCCGGAUUUAUUGGGCGUAAAGAGCUCGCAGGCGGUUUGUCGCGUCUGGUGUGAACACUCGAGGCUCAACCUCGAGCUUGCAUCGGGUACGGGCAGACUAGAGUGCGGUAGGGGAGACUGGAAUUCCUGGUGUAGCGGUGGAAUGCGCAGAUAUCAGGAGGAACACCGAUGGCGAAGGCAGGUCUCUGGGCCGCAACUGACGCUGAGGAGCGAAAGCAUGGGGAGCGAACA
RNAcentral lists this ribosomal RNA (407 nucleotides) under uncultured Cellulosimicrobium sp. Its description in RNAcentral is "bacterial SSU rRNA". It matches the Rfam family "Bacterial small subunit ribosomal RNA", at positions 355 to 774 of the family's 1533-position model. Lineage: Bacteria; Bacillati; Actinomycetota; Actinomycetes; Micrococcales; Promicromonosporaceae. The record is from RNAcentral.